Molecule: transfer RNA, 96 nt
Filed under: Streptomyces violaceoruber
Lineage: Bacteria; Bacillati; Actinomycetota; Actinomycetes; Kitasatosporales; Streptomycetaceae
Also listed under: 4 other names
Description: tRNA-OTHER
Rfam family: tRNA
About the family: Transfer RNA (tRNA) molecules are approximately 80 nucleotides in length. Their secondary structure includes four short double-helical elements and three loops (D, anti-codon, and T loops). Further hydrogen bonds mediate the characteristic L-shaped molecular structure. tRNAs have two regions of fundamental functional importance: the anti-codon, which is responsible for specific mRNA codon recognition, and the 3' end, to which the tRNAs corresponding amino acid is attached (by aminoacyl-tRNA synthetases). tRNAs cope with the degeneracy of the genetic code in two manners: having more than one tRNA (with a specific anti-codon) for a particular amino acid; and 'wobble' base-pairing, i.e. permitting non-standard base-pairing at the 3rd anti-codon position.
Source: RNAcentral
GGCCGUGUGCCCGAGUGGCCCAGGGGCUCGCCUGCGCGGCGCCGGUCAGCGAGCUCCGCGCGGGGAGUCACGCGGGUUCGAAUCCCGCCCCGGCCU